Molecule: long non-coding RNA, 480 nt
Organism: Homo sapiens (human)
Lineage: Eukaryota; Metazoa; Chordata; Mammalia; Primates; Hominidae
Source: Ensembl
GGCUCACUGCAACCUCCACCUCCUGGGUUCAAGCGAUUCUCCUGCCUCACCCUUCCAAGUAGCUGGGAUUACAGGUGCCCGCUACCAGCCCAGCUAAUUUUUGUAUUUUUAGUAGAGACGGAGUUUCACCAUGUUGGCCAGGCUGGUCUCGAACUCUGUCAAGCCACUGCGCCCGGCCCAUUCUUUCCUUUUAGAGGAAGAAACCCGCUCUGGAUGGCCGGCUGGGGAGGUCUGGUCCUGCCCAGUUAAUGCUCCACCCUGGAUCACCCAAGCCUGAGGCUUUGACCCAGAGCUGGGGUUCGCUCGCAGAACCCCCCAGACACACCGACCUGGGUGAGGUAGCGGAUCUGAGCUGACAGCUCCGCCUCCACGUGUUGCACUGAAGCGGUGAAGGCCGCCGCCUGCCGGUCUAGGAGCCGCUCGUUAGUUUUUUCCUUGGACAAUUCUAGGAUCACAGUACCUGCCAGGGCGGAGAGAGGG